UAACAAUACGGGGCUUAAAGUCUUGUAAUUGGAAUGAUGGGAAUUUAAACCUCUUCCAGAGUAUCAAUUGGAGGGCAAGUCUGGUACCAGCAGCCGCGGUAAUUCCAGCUCCAAUAGCGUAUAUUAAAAUUGUUGCAGUUAAAAAGCUCGUAGUUGAAUUUCUGCUGCAUUGCUUGUGUCCCUCUGGGGUCUGUGCAUGUGGCUUUUUUCGGACGGAGUUUCUUUGUCUGAAUGUUUACUUUGAGAAAAUUAGAGUGCUCAAAGCAGGCUUUCGCCUUGAAUAGUUUAGCAUGGAAUAAUAAAGUAGGACUUUGGUUCUAUUUUGUUGGUUUUAGGUACCAAAGUAAUGGUUAAUAGGAACAGUUGGGGGCAUUCGUAUUUAACUGUCAGAGGUGAAAUUCUUAGA
This 406-nucleotide ribosomal RNA is filed under the name Theileria annulata. RNAcentral's name for it is "SSU rRNA". It matches the Rfam family "Eukaryotic small subunit ribosomal RNA", at positions 477 to 924 of the family's 1831-position model. Lineage: Eukaryota; Apicomplexa; Aconoidasida; Piroplasmida; Theileriidae. The record is from RNAcentral.